CAUGCAAGUCGAGCGGAAACGAUGGGAGCUUGCUCCCAGGCGUCGAGCGGCGGACGGGUGAGUAAUACUUAGGAAUCUGCCUAGUAGUGGGGGAUAGCUCGGGGAAACUCGAAUUAAUACCGCAUACGACCUACGGGUGAAAGGGGGCUUUUAGCUCUCGCUAUUAGAUGAGCCUAAGUCGGAUUAGCUAGUUGGUGGGGUAAAGGCCUACCAAGGCGACGAUCUGUAGCUGGUCUGAGAGGAUGAUCAGCCACACCGGGACUGAGACACGGCCCGGACUCCUACGGGAGGCAGCAGUGGGGAAUAUUGGACAAUGGGGGCAACCCUGAUCCAGCCAUGCCGCGUGUGUGAAGAAGGCCUUUUGGUUGUAAAGCACUUUAAGCAGUGAAGAAGACCUAACGGUUAAUACCCGUUAGCGAUGACAUUAGCUGCAGAAUAAGCACCGGCUAA
Molecule: ribosomal RNA, 450 nt
Filed under: Psychrobacter phenylpyruvicus
Lineage: Bacteria; Pseudomonadati; Pseudomonadota; Gammaproteobacteria; Moraxellales; Moraxellaceae
Description: bacterial SSU rRNA
Rfam family: Bacterial small subunit ribosomal RNA
Source: RNAcentral